Molecule: ribosomal RNA, 505 nt
Filed under: uncultured bacterium
Lineage: Bacteria
Description: partial 16S ribosomal RNA
Rfam family: Bacterial small subunit ribosomal RNA
Source: RNAcentral
GACGAACGCUGGCGGCGUGCCUAAUACAUGCAAGUAGAACGCACAGUUUAUACCUUAGCUUGCUACACCAUAGACUGUGAGUUGCGAACGGGUGAGUAACGCGUAGGUAACCUGCCUGGUAGCGGGGGAUAACUAUUGGAAACGAUAGCUAAUACCGCAUAAUAUUAAUUAUUGCAUGAUAAUUAAUUGAAAGGUGCAAUUGCACCACUACCAGAUGGACCUGCGUUGUAUUAGCUAGUAGGUGAGGUAACGGCUCACCUAGGCGACGAUACAUGGCCGACCGGAGAGGGUGAUAGGCCACACUGGGACUGAGACACGGCCCAGACUCCUACGGGAGGCAGCAGUAGGGAAUCGUCGGCAAGGGACGAAAGUCUGACCGAGCAACGCCGCGGGAGUGAAGAAGGGUUUCGGAUCGUAAAGCUCGGUUGUAAGAGAAGAACGGGUGUGAGAGUGGAAAGUUCACACUGUGACGGUAUCUGACCAGAAAGGGACGGCUAACUACGUG